RNAcentral lists this ribosomal RNA (559 nucleotides) under uncultured bacterium. Its description in RNAcentral is "bacterial SSU rRNA". It matches the Rfam family "Bacterial small subunit ribosomal RNA", at positions 957 to 1515 of the family's 1533-position model. The record is from RNAcentral.
CAACGCGAAGAACCUUACCAGGUCUUGACAUACCAUUGACCGUUCUAGAGAUAGGAUUUUCCCUUCGGGGACAAUGGAUACAGGUGGUGCAUGGUUGUCGUCAGCUCGUGUCGUGAGAUGUUGGGUUAAGUCCCGCAACGAGCGCAACCCCUGUCGUUAGUUGCCAGCAUUCAGUUGGGGACUCUAACGAGACUGCCAGUGACAAACUGGAGGAAGGUGGGGAUGACGUCAAAUCAUCAUGCCCCUUAUGACCUGGGCUACACACGUGCUACAAUGGUUGGUACAAAGAGAAGCGAAGCGGUGACGUGGAGCAAACCUCAUAAAGCCAAUCUCAGUUCGGAUUGUAGGCUGCAACUCGCCUACAUGAAGUUGGAAUCGCUAGUAAUCGCGAAUCAGAAUGUCGCGGUGAAUACGUUCCCGGGUCUUGUACACACCGCCCGUCACACCACGAGAGUUUACAACACCCGAAGUCAGUGGCCUAACCGCAAGGAGGGAGCUGCCUAAGGUGGGGUAGAUGAUUGGGGUGAAGUCGUAACAAGGUAUCCCUACCGGAAGGUGC